Schistosoma haematobium is the source of this 45-nucleotide non-coding RNA. Lineage: Eukaryota; Metazoa; Platyhelminthes; Trematoda; Strigeidida; Schistosomatidae. The record is from Rfam.
AUCUAAUUGACGAGUUCCGAAUAAGACGAAAUGCGUAUCUUAGAU